AUUGAACGCUGGCGGCAUGCUUUACACAUGCAAGUCGAACGGUAACAGGCCGCAAGGUGCUGACGAGUGGCGAACGGGUGAGUAAUGCAUCGGAACGUGCCCCGUCGUGGGGGAUAACGCAGCGAAAGCUGCGCUAAUACCGCAUACGAUCUAUGGAUGAAAGCGGGGGGUCGGAGGGCCGCGUGAGAAUGGAGGGGCCGAUGUCUGUUUAGGUAGCUUGUGGGGUAAAGGCUCACCAAGCCAACGAUCUGUAGCUGGUCUGAGAGGACGAGCAACCACACUGGGACUGAGACACGGCCCAGACUCCUACGGGAGGCAGCGGUGGGGAAUUUAGGAAAAUGGGCGCAAGCCUGAUCCAGCAAUGCCGCGUGCAGGAAGAAGGCCUUCGGGUUGUAAACUGCUUUUGUACGGAACGAAACGGUCCUGGUUAAUACCUGGGGCUAAUGACGGUACCGUAAGAAUAAGCACCGGCUAACUACGUGCCAGCAGCCGCGGUAA
RNAcentral lists this ribosomal RNA (498 nucleotides) under uncultured bacterium. Its description in RNAcentral is "partial 16S ribosomal RNA". It matches the Rfam family "Bacterial small subunit ribosomal RNA", at positions 29 to 523 of the family's 1533-position model. The record is from RNAcentral.